AUGGAGUAGGUUAUAGCUUCCUAAAACCCUCUAUAUUGACCAUGGAGUAGGUUAUAGCUUCCUAAAACCCUCUAUAUUGACCAUGGAGUAGGUUAUAGCUUCCUAAAACCCUCUAUAGUGACCGUGGAGUAGGUUAUAGCUUCCUAAAACCCUCUAUAUUGACCAUGGAGUAGAUUCUAGCUUCCUAAAACCCUCUAUAUUGACCAUGGAGUAGGUUAUAGCUUCCUAAAACCCUCUAUAGUGACCAUGGAGUAGGUUAUAGCUUCCUACAACCCUCUAUAUUGACCAUGGAGUAGAUUCUAGCUUCCUACAACCGCCUAAAAUCACUAGCAUGCGUUAUGUUUUGUUUUGUGUCACAUCUCUUGACUUUCUACCUGCGAUUUUAAACUAAAGGAAAGCAACUCGUCUAACAGAAGAAGCAAGUAUCAUGAAGCCACGAGCACAGAAGAUAAUGCAGUCGCAUGGCACAAAGGAGUAUUGUGUUGGCAUCCAGUGGCUGCGUCAAAACUGGAAUAUUUAAUAAUCAAUCCUCUAUUUGAAAUACAUUUUUAGAACUGAACUGAAUACAUAAAAAAUAAA
Molecule: long non-coding RNA, 579 nt
Organism: Oncorhynchus tshawytscha (Chinook salmon)
Lineage: Eukaryota; Metazoa; Chordata; Actinopteri; Salmoniformes; Salmonidae
Source: Ensembl